RNAcentral lists this ribosomal RNA (500 nucleotides) under uncultured bacterium. RNAcentral's name for it is "partial 16S ribosomal RNA". It matches the Rfam family "Bacterial small subunit ribosomal RNA", at positions 30 to 523 of the family's 1533-position model. The record is from RNAcentral.
AUUGAACGCUGGCGGCAGGCCUAACACAUGCAAGUCGAGCGGAUGACGGGAGCUUGCUCCUUGAUUCAGCGGCGGACGGGUGAGUAAUGCCUAGGAAUCUGCCUGGUAGUGGGGGACAACGUUUCGAAAGGAACGCUAAUACCGCAUACGUCCUACGGGAGAAAACAGGGGACCUUCGGGCCUUGCGCUAUCAGAAGAGCCGAGGUGGGAUUAGCUAGUUGGUGGGGUAAUGGCUCAACAAGCCGACGAGCCUUAACGGGUCUGAGAGGAUGAUCAGUAACACUGGAACUGAGACACGGUCCAGACUCCUACGGGAGGCAGCAGUGGGGAAUAUUGGACAAUGGGCGAAAGCCUGAUCCAGCCAUGCCGCGUGUGGGAAGAAGGUCUUCGGAUUGUAAAGCACUUUAAGUUGGGAGGAAGGGCAGUAAGCUAAUACCUUGCUGUUUUGACGUUACCGACAGAAUAAGCACCGGCUAACUCUGUGCCAGCCGCCGCCGUAA